This 73-nucleotide transfer RNA is filed under the name Olea europaea subsp. europaea. RNAcentral's name for it is "tRNA.Sup". The record is from RNAcentral. Lineage: Eukaryota; Viridiplantae; Streptophyta; Magnoliopsida; Lamiales; Oleaceae.
UCUCUUGUAGCUCAUUUGGUUAGAGCUUCCAUUUCUAAAUUAAAAGUCUUGGGAUUGAAUCUCCAUGAAAGAA